Molecule: long non-coding RNA, 1724 nt
Organism: Raphanus sativus (radish)
Lineage: Eukaryota; Viridiplantae; Streptophyta; Magnoliopsida; Brassicales; Brassicaceae
Exons: 4
Source: RefSeq, a predicted model, not a curated record
CUUUGCCAAAAGUGAUGGUUCAUUGUCUUCACGAUCAAAACAAAGUUUCAGAGAUCCCGGAGACGUAUCGCCGUGAAUGGUUCUUAUCCUCUUAUCCUCCAAAAUGAUGUUUUGAUUCAUUGUACGAAACAUCUUAACUCCAUCAAUUCACAUUUGUCCCGAUUUCACAUUCAAUUACUUAUCCCUCUUAUAGGUUGCGGUGUAUCUCCACCUAUAAAAAGGGUUCAUGUCUACUGCAAGCUCUGAGACGAGUCUUCAUGAGCAAUCUCUGCGUCAGUUUAGGGCCGUUUCUCAUUUGGAAUCCCUCUCCUUCCCUCAUAUAUAUCUUCAGUUUGAAUUUAAUCAGCGAAAUAUAUUGGUGUUCUCCCAACGACCAUUGGUUUACACACGACGGUGAAUGUCUCCGCCGACCAUUUCCAGAGAAUCACUUGGGUACAGCCGGCUAUCACCAUGCUGCCGAUUUCAUUGAAGACUUCAUUGACAUCAUCAUAUUAGGUGGCGCCGGCAACACUGCGUUCUGUGCCGCCGGUUAUACUCUUUUCACUUUGGCUACCAGAUUGCAUGCUCAGUUAUACUACCAAUCUAAGAUCCACAAGAUCAUCGGAAUUUCUUGAGUCUGCAGUCACUUGGGUACGUCAGGUUUUAAUUUGUUCAUCUUAUAGAAGUCGAAAGAAUAGAGGCACAUUCUUUUUUGUUUCGCAUAUAUUUCUUCAAUUAUAUUGUUCAGUGAUCCUUUUUCAAGCUACUUAGAAACUCGCAACUUUGGAUCGAGAAAGAUGAAGAUGAUGACGACGAAAUUUGAUCCACUCUAAAUUCGAGCAAGUUCUUUCCUUUCACGAGUUUUUUUUUGGGUUUCCUCUCAAACAUAUAUGCUAAUUAACUUUAACCAAACUUUUGUUUCCUUUCAGAGUGGACCAGCAGAGGAGCGGAUCGAAUCAGCAAAAGCUUGAGAAUUUUAACCCAGAAGGAAAAGCAGCUGACUUUAGAGAAGUUCUUACUCAUGCUUCAGAAAGUUAUUCGAAUAGGGAAAUCACAAGCGUGUCAUCUCAUGGAGAAAUAGUUCCACUUAGUCUGCAGAUGUUCGGUUGUAAAGUGUUACAAAAGGCUCUUGAUGUCAUAGAACCUGAUCAGAGAGUUCGUUUACCACAUGAACUUGACGGGCAGUCGGGCAGUUCAUGAGAUGUGUUCAGACACCAAAACACAAGCAAGGAGCUCUUGAAAUGCAUCGAUAAUACUUCUUCAGACUGUUGGAUCCAUAUUACCUGCAUUCCUUGGUCUCUAUGCAUCUUAUGGCUGCCGAGCAAUCAUGAACUAAGAAUUAAAAUAAAUGUUUGUUUUCUGCCUUCGCCCAUCUUGGUUUCUCUCAUUAUACACAAUAGCAAUGCAUCUUCACGUUUUCUUUGCUCUUACGUAUUGAGAAACCAUAUCUUUUUAUUAUUACUGAAUGUCCCUGUAAAUCUAGGUUGUUACCUAAGGCUAUGUGUAUGUGGGAUGACGUUGGAGUCAGGCAGAUUGGGAUUGUUCAAGAAAAGAGAAUUUGUUUAUAGACUUCACAUAUCUAACGUGUCUCUUUGUUUCAGGGGGAGUGUUUAUUUUUAGCAGUGUUUGUUGCCCUUAUGUAGAAUCAUAUGAGCUUAGUAAGAUGGAGGUAGAAACAUCAGUGAUUUUAAUUAUCACUAAUAUUUCUAAUAUAUUAUUGUUAUAAGUAAAAGUAAUUCCUUUGA